Molecule: unclassified non-coding RNA, 500 nt
Filed under: uncultured Glomus
Lineage: Eukaryota; Fungi; Glomeromycota; Glomeromycetes; Glomerales; Glomeraceae
Description: SSU rRNA
Rfam family: Eukaryotic small subunit ribosomal RNA
Source: RNAcentral
CCAAUAGCGUAUAUUAAAGUUGUUGCAGUUAAAAAGCUCGUAGUUGAAUUUCGGGAUCAAUAUAUCGGUCGUGCCAUCGGUACGUACUGGUAUCAUUGGUUUCUCCUUUCUGACGAACCAUGAUGUCAUUAAUUUGGUGUUAUGGGAAGUUAGGACUGUUACUUUGAAAAAAUUAGAGUGUUUAAAGCAGGCUUUAGCUUGAAUACAUUAGCAUGGAAUAAUGAAAUAGGACGUUCGAACCUAUUUUGUUGGUUUCUAGGAUCAACGUAAUGAUUAAUAGGGAUAGUUGGGGGCAUUAGUAGUCAAUUGUCAGAGGUGAAAUUCUUGGAUUUAUUGAAGACUAACUACUGCGAAAGCAUUUGCCAAGGAUGUUUUCAUUAAUCAAGAACGAAAGUUAGGGGAUCGAAGACGAUCAGAUACCGUCGUAGUCUUAACCAUAAACUAUGCCGACUAGGGAUCGGAUGAUGUUAAUUUUUUAAUGACUCAUUCGGCGCCUUACG